UACGUAGGGCGCGAGCGUUGUCCGGAAUUAUUGGGCGUAAAGAGCUCGUAGGCGGCCUGUCGCGUCCGCUGUGAAAACCCGGGGCUCAACCCCGGGCCUGCAGUCGAUACGGGCAGACUAGAGUGCGGUAGGGGAGACUGGAAUUCCUGGUGUAGCGGUGAAAUGCGCAGAUAUCAGGAGGAACACCGGUGGCGAAGGCGGGUCUCUGGGCCGUAACUGACGCUGAGGAGCGAAAGCGUGGGGAGCGAACAGG
RNAcentral lists this ribosomal RNA (253 nucleotides) under uncultured bacterium. Its description in RNAcentral is "partial 16S ribosomal RNA". It matches the Rfam family "Bacterial small subunit ribosomal RNA", at positions 524 to 776 of the family's 1533-position model. The record is from RNAcentral.